GGAAGGUUCGCCUAGUUGGUCCAUGGCGCCUGCUUGGAAAGCAGGUGAGCGUAAGCUCACGUGGGUUCAAAUCCCACACCUUCCG
This 85-nucleotide transfer RNA is filed under the name Candidatus Kerfeldbacteria bacterium RIFOXYB2_FULL_38_14. Its description in RNAcentral is "tRNA-Ser". It matches the Rfam family "tRNA". Rfam says of the family: Transfer RNA (tRNA) molecules are approximately 80 nucleotides in length. Their secondary structure includes four short double-helical elements and three loops (D, anti-codon, and T loops). Further hydrogen bonds mediate the characteristic L-shaped molecular structure. tRNAs have two regions of fundamental functional importance: the anti-codon, which is responsible for specific mRNA codon recognition, and the 3' end, to which the tRNAs corresponding amino acid is attached (by aminoacyl-tRNA synthetases). tRNAs cope with the degeneracy of the genetic code in two manners: having more than one tRNA (with a specific anti-codon) for a particular amino acid; and 'wobble' base-pairing, i.e. permitting non-standard base-pairing at the 3rd anti-codon position. Lineage: Bacteria; Candidatus Kerfeldiibacteriota. The record is from RNAcentral. RNAcentral also lists the same sequence under 1 other name.